This 1077-nucleotide ribosomal RNA is filed under the name Vibrio parahaemolyticus. Its description in RNAcentral is "partial 23S ribosomal RNA". It matches the Rfam family "Bacterial large subunit ribosomal RNA", at positions 178 to 1306 of the family's 2925-position model. Lineage: Bacteria; Pseudomonadati; Pseudomonadota; Gammaproteobacteria; Vibrionales; Vibrionaceae. The record is from RNAcentral.
GGCGAACCGGGGGAACUGAAACAUCUAAGUACCCCGAGGAAAAGAAAUCAACCGAGAUUCCGAAAGUAGCGGCGAGCGAAAUUGGACUAGCCCUUAAGCUUUACACGCGUUAGACGAACGGUCUGGAAAGUCCGACGAUACAGGGUGAUAGUCCCGUAGUUGACGACGUGUGUUCAGUGAAAUCGAGUAGGGCGGGACACGUGAUAUCCUGUCUGAAUAUGGGGGGACCAUCCUCCAAGGCUAAAUACUACUGACUGACCGAUAGUGAACCAGUACCGUGAGGGAAAGGCGAAAAGAACCCCUGUGAGGGGAGUGAAAUAGAACCUGAAACCGUGUACGUACAAGCAGUAGGAGCAGGCUUUGUCCUGUGACUGCGUACCUUUUGUAUAAUGGGUCAGCGACUUAUAUUCAGUGGCAAGGUUAACCAUCUAGGGGAGCCGUAGGGAAACCGAGUCUUAACUGGGCGUUCAGUCUCUGGAUAUAGACCCGAAACCAGGUGAUCUAGCCAUGGGCAGGUUGAAGGUUGAGUAACAUCAACUGGAGGACCGAACCGACUAAUGUUGAAAAAUUAGCGGAUGACUUGUGGCUAGGGGUGAAAGGCCAAUCAAACCUGGAGAUAGCUGGUUCUCCCCGAAAGCUAUUUAGGUAGCGCCUCGGACGAAUACUACUGGGGGUAGAGCACUGUUAAGGCUAGGGGGUCAUCCCGACUUACCAACCCUUUGCAAACUCCGAAUACCAGUAAGUACUAUCCGGGAGACACACGGCGGGUGCUAACGUCCGUCGUGGAGAGGGAAACAACCCAGACCGCCAGCUAAGGUCCCAAAUUACUACUAAGUGGGAAACGAUGUGGGAAGGCUCAGACAGCCAGGAUGUUGGCUUAGAAGCAGCCAUCAUUUAAAGAAAGCGUAAUAGCUCACUGGUCGAGUCGGCCUGCGCGGAAGAUGUAACGGGGCUAAGUAGUAAACCGAAGCUGCGGCAAUGUGCUUUUGCACAUUGGGUAGGGGAGCGUUCUGUAAGCGGUUGAAGGUGUGUGGUAACGCAUGCUGGACGUAUCAGAAGUGCGAAUGCUGACAUGAG